Molecule: long non-coding RNA, 463 nt
Organism: Gasterosteus aculeatus aculeatus (three-spined stickleback)
Lineage: Eukaryota; Metazoa; Chordata; Actinopteri; Perciformes; Gasterosteidae
Source: Ensembl
GGGGAUGAAUGCCGGUGACAUAUGUGUGUGUUUUUAUGGAGCGUGUGUGAAGGCGUUUGGGUGAAAGUGGGAGGGCUGUGCUGAUUUAUAAGGACAGAGUCUGGGGAUGAACGGAUGUGUUGUUUCGGAGAAGCAAAUAGUUUAUCACAAUCCUUCUUUUAUUCACCCAUCUCAAGUAUGUCUUCAUGUAUGCAGGAAUGUGUCACGCGUCCGUGUGAACACGUGUGUGUUUUUGUGUUGCCCAUUCGGACCGGGGACAGCGGGAAAGAGUGAAGUAGGACCCAGUUGCCAUGGCGACGCCAUCGGCUUCCUGUCGAAGGCGCUCGCCUCCGCCAGCGCGUGAGCUCCCCAGCGUAACAAACGCACAUUGGCCAGAAACUGGGAUCAGGUCAGAUACUUGGAUCUCGAAUCCCCCAUCCCGCCCCAGCACACACCCGGCUGUUGACCCGCAGUCUGACCGAGG